AGCUGGCGGAGCUACCAUGCAGUCGAACGGUAACAGGAAGCAGCUUGCUGCUUUGCUGACGAGUGGCGGACGGGUGAGUAAUGUCUGGGAAACUGCCUGAUGGAGGGGGAUAACUACUGGAAACGGUAGCUAAUACCGCAUAACGUCGCAAGACCAAAGAGGGGGACCUUCGGGCCUCUUGCCAUCGGAUGUGCCCAGAUGGGAUUAGCUAGUAGGUGGGGUAACGGCUCACCUAGGCGACGAUCCCUAGCUGGUCUGAGAGGAUGACCAGCCACACUGGAACUGAGACACGGUCCAGACUCCUACGGGAGGCAGCAGUGGGGAAUAUUGCACAAUGGGCGCAAGCCUGAUGCAGCCAUGCCGCGUGUAUGAAGAAGGCCUUCGGGUUGUAAAGUACUUUCAGCGGGGAGGACAAGGCGAUGAGGUUAAUAACCUUGUCGAUUGACGUUACCCGCAGAAGAAGCACCGGCUAACUCCGUGCCAGCAGCCGCGGUAAUACGGAGGGUGCAAGCGUUAAUCGGAAUUACUGGGCGUAAAGCGCACGCAGGCGGUCUGUCAAGUCGGAUGUGAAAUCCCCGGGCUCAACCUGGGAACUGCAUUCGAAACUGGCAGGCUAGAGUCUUGUAGAGGGGGGUAGAAUUCCAGGUGUAGCGGUGAAAUGCGUAGAGAUCUGGAGGAAUACCGGUGGCGAAGGCGGCCCCCUGGACAAAGACUGACGCUCAGGUGCGAAAGCGUGGGGAGCAAACAGGAUUAGAUACCCUGGUAGUCCACGCCGUAAACGAUGUCGACUUGGAGGUUGUGCCCUUGAGGCGUGGCUUCCGGAGCUAACGCGUUAAGUCGACCGCCUGGGGAGUACGGCCGCAAGGUUAAAACUCAAAUGAAUUGACGGGGGCCCGCACAAGCGGUGGAGCAUGUGGUUUAAUUCGAUGCAACGCGAAGAACCUUACCUACUCUUGACAUCCAGAGAACUUUCCAGAGAUGGAUUGGUGCCUUCGGGAACUCUGAGACAGGUGCUGCAUGGCUGUCGUCAGCUCGUGUUGUGAAAUGUUGGGUUAAGUCCCGCAACGAGCGCAACCCUUAUCCUUUGUUGCCAGCGGUUAGGCCGGGAAAUCAAAGGAGAAAACCAAAGAUAAAAGAUAGGAAGGGGGGGAGGACGUCAAGUCAUCAUGGCCCUUACGAGUAGGGCAACACAAAGGUAACAAUGGCGCAUACAAAGAGAAAUGACCUCGGGAAGCAAGCGGAAUCAAAGGAGUUGUGAAGUCCGAAAAUGAGUCUGCAACUGGACGACGAAAGUCGGAAAAGUUGAGAAUCGUGGAUCAUAAGGCCAAGAUGGAGGUAUUCCGAGGCUUUAUACACACCGCCCAUCACAGCCAUGGGAAUGAAAACAAAAGCAGGGCAAAGCUAACCAUUGUGAGGGCAGAUACCUGUUUUGUGACACGCUCCAGGACGAGGUCAACUCACAAUAGCACAGCGCC
RNAcentral lists this ribosomal RNA (1475 nucleotides) under Enterobacter sp. 252. RNAcentral's name for it is "bacterial SSU rRNA". It matches the Rfam family "Bacterial small subunit ribosomal RNA". Lineage: Bacteria; Pseudomonadati; Pseudomonadota; Gammaproteobacteria; Enterobacterales; Enterobacteriaceae. The record is from RNAcentral.